GAUAAGCAGUGCAUAUGUCCACACCAGGGAUCCAAACCGGUGAACCCUGGGCCGCUCAAGUGGAGCUUGCAAACUUAACUGCUACGCCACCAGAUUAUGACUACAGAGGAUUCUGAUUCAGGGAGGCAGAUCUCGGUUUUGACACUCUGGAUUCCACUCUUGCGCCAGAGUUUACGUGGUGGUUUGCCCUGCCAGCUCAGUUCUGUGAGGAGUCUAAAAUAUAGGUGGAUUCAGUUUUUCCAGCGUUUUCUUGUUUUAAGGAUGGGAUUGGUGAUCUCUGCCCUCUCUAUAUGUUGGGGCUGAAACCAGAAGCUUUAUUUGUGACCAUUUUUGAAAUAUGCCACAAUCAGUAUAAGCCUAUGAGUUUCAAAUAUCAUGCUUCUGGAUAGACUGCAGCGUAUUCACCGCCAAAAGUCUAGUGGCCAUCCAUCAUCAUACACACGUGCCCCUUUACCCCUUUCGCCCUCCCCCCACCUCCCUACCCCACUUGUAACCACCAAUCUGUUCUCUGUAUCUAUGUGAUAUUUUUUCUUUGUAAACAAACAACCCGAUUAAAAAAUGGGCAGAGGAUCUGAAUUUUUCCAAAGGAGAUAUACAGAUAGCUGAUAGGCAUGUGAGAAGAUGUUCAACAUCACUAAUUAUUAGGGAAAUGCAAAUCAAAACCACAAUGAGAUAUUACCCCACGCCUGCCUGUCAGCUGGCUAUUAU
RNAcentral lists this long non-coding RNA (708 nucleotides) under Equus caballus (horse). RNAcentral describes it as "lncRNA (ENSECAG00000059133.1)". Lineage: Eukaryota; Metazoa; Chordata; Mammalia; Perissodactyla; Equidae. The record is from RNAcentral.